RNAcentral lists this small RNA (356 nucleotides) under Pongo abelii (Sumatran orangutan). Its description in RNAcentral is "processed transcript". Lineage: Eukaryota; Metazoa; Chordata; Mammalia; Primates; Hominidae. The record is from RNAcentral.
CCCUGAAUAGCCACCAAGGGAUGCUUCAGCCCUGGGCAGUGCUUCCCUCACGUUUCAAAAAAGCCAGUAUUUUGGAAAGAUAACCUUUUUUCAAUAUCGUCCGCACAUUAUCAGAAAGCAUGGGUAAGUACCUGCAAGGAGUACUGUGGGGGCCCCUGCGAGGAGUAUCGAGGAGUACUGUGUGGACCUCUGCGAGGGGUACCGUGUGGAACCCUGCCUUCUGCAGUGAGAUCUCGGGAUGUUUGCAGGAGACUCCGCUUCAGCCAUCGCGGUGCUGUCAGAGAGGCCUCCUUGGUAGAGGUGUACAUCGGUGAGCUCCCGCAGGACUUCCUCCGCAUCACGCCCACACAGCAGCA